RNAcentral lists this ribosomal RNA (253 nucleotides) under uncultured bacterium. RNAcentral describes it as "partial 16S ribosomal RNA". It matches the Rfam family "Bacterial small subunit ribosomal RNA", at positions 524 to 776 of the family's 1533-position model. The record is from RNAcentral.
UACAGAGGGGGCAAGCGUUGUUCGGAAUUACUGGGCGUAAAGGGCGCGUAGGCGGCCUACUAAGUCAGACGUGAAAUCCCCCGGCUUAACCUGGGAACUGCGUCUGAUACUGGAAGGCUUGAGUAUGGGAGAGGGAUGUAGAAUUCCAGGUGUAGCGGUGAAAUGCGUAGAUAUCUGGAGGAAUACCGGUGGCGAAGGCGGCAUCCUGGACCAUUACUGACGCUGAGGCGCGAAAGCUAGGGGAGCAAACCGG